AGCGAACGCUGGCGGCAGGCCUAACACAUGCAAGUCGAACGGCAGCACAGUAAGAGCUUGCUCUUACGGGUGGCGAGUGGCGGACGGGUGAGGAAUACAUGGGAAUAUACUUUUUCGCGGGGGAUAAUGCAGGGAAACUUACGCUAAUACAGCAUACGACCUACGGGUGAAAGCAGGGGAUCUUCGGACCUUUCGCGAUUGAAUGAGCCGAUGUCGGAUUAGCUAGUUGGCGGGGUAAAGGCGGAUCAAGGCGACGAUCCGUAGCUGGUCUGAGAGGAUGGUCAGCCACACUGGAACUGAGACACGGUCCAGACUCCUACAGGAGGCAGCAGUCGAGAAUAUUGGACGAUGGGCGAGAGCCGGAUCCAGCCAUACCGCGUAAGUCAAGAAGGCCUUCGGCUUGUAGAACCCUUUUGUUGGGAGAGAAAAGCAACACUUUAAUACCCCGCUAUUCUGACGGUACCCGAAGAAUAAGCACCGGCUAACUUCGUG
This 492-nucleotide ribosomal RNA is filed under the name uncultured bacterium. RNAcentral's name for it is "partial 16S ribosomal RNA". It matches the Rfam family "Bacterial small subunit ribosomal RNA", at positions 29 to 507 of the family's 1533-position model. The record is from RNAcentral.